UGGGAUGUAGCUCAUCGGUAGAGCAGUAGACAUUUAAUCUACGUGGAGCGGGUUCAAUUCCCGUUAUCUUGACCA
This 75-nucleotide transfer RNA is filed under the name Actibacterium sp. 188UL27-1. RNAcentral's name for it is "tRNA-Lys". It matches the Rfam family "tRNA". Rfam says of the family: Transfer RNA (tRNA) molecules are approximately 80 nucleotides in length. The record is from RNAcentral. Lineage: Bacteria; Pseudomonadati; Pseudomonadota; Alphaproteobacteria; Rhodobacterales; Roseobacteraceae.